GCCUAACCAUAACACAACAAUAAAUCACUAAUUGUUCGCCAAAUAACUACGAGUAAAAACUUAAAAUUUAAAAGACUUGACGGUACCCCACAACAGCCUAGAGGAGCCUGUUCAAUAACCGAUACUCCACGAUUAAUCCAACCCCCCCUAGCCUAACAGUCUAUAUACCGCCGUCGCCAGCCUACCUUAUGAAAGGAACAAAGUAAGCCAAAUAGUCCCACACUAACACGACAGGUCGAGGUGUAACUCAUGAGGGGGCCCAGAAUGGGCUACAUUUUCUAACUUAGACAAUACGAAUAAACCAUGAAACAGAAACUGAAGGCGGAUUUAGCAGUAUACUACGAACAAAAUACCUAGUUGAAGUUAACGCAAUGGGGUGCGUACACACCGCCCGUCAUCCCUGCCAACUAAAAUAAAACAUACAUAAAUACCAACACAACCCCAAAACAGGGCAAGUCGUAACACGGUAAGCGUACUGGAAAGUGCGCUUAGAAA
Molecule: ribosomal RNA, 495 nt
Filed under: Lycodon liuchengchaoi
Lineage: Eukaryota; Metazoa; Chordata; Lepidosauria; Squamata; Colubridae
Description: partial 12S ribosomal RNA
Rfam family: Bacterial small subunit ribosomal RNA
Source: RNAcentral